This 956-nucleotide long non-coding RNA is filed under the name Fukomys damarensis (Damara mole-rat). RNAcentral describes it as "lncRNA (ENSFDAG00000033513.1)". The record is from RNAcentral. Lineage: Eukaryota; Metazoa; Chordata; Mammalia; Rodentia; Bathyergidae.
UACACGAAGUAGGGAGAGUUGAGACCCUUUGGUAGGAUUAGAUGAGGGAACUGGGCUCCUUUCAGAAAGAGAAAGGAAAUAGCCCCUGCAUCUCUGUGCUGACAGUCCCUGGUUUUGACUCUUGCCUGUGCGCAGGCCACAUUGCUCCUCCUAGAGCAGGUCCCCAUGCCUGCCCAAAUUCACCUGCUGUUCCGUAAGACCAGGCUCCUAGCAACAAGCCCAUCUAAUCCAUUCAGUGUCGACCCUCAGCUUUAUCAACCUUACCAUAGCUCUACCUGCCCUAUGACCUCGGUUGGAAAUUCAGCGUUUGUGCUGACUGUCAUUCUGUAUCUCUUCGUUGUGAAGUCAAAGGAACAAGUGAUGGAAGUACAGUUAGUUAGAAGAAGGCGUUAUCAGAGGUCAUCCAGCCACCUUCACACACAGGUGAGUGAUCGAGUGAAGAGAACGGGGAAGUGUUCUGCUCCAAGUUACAGUGCUGAUAUGGGUACAGCAUUUAGUUCAGAAGAUGUGAGAGAGAAGGCAGAUCUGGAUUUGCUUAAUCUAGGUUCUCCAGGGUAGAAACAAUGGAGAAUGCAGCAAGGAGAACUGUAUGUGUAUUUUACUGUGGUUACAUAAUAGAUUAUUACUUGAUAUCUCAGCUACUUCCUUGUUCCUGAGACAAAGUACCCAACAUCUACAAUUUAAAAAUCUAUUUUAGUUCGCAGUUUGUUGAGGUUUUAGUCAAUUGGCUCCAAGCCAGGUAUCAGGGCAGAGGGGCGUCACAGAGGAGAAACGGUCCUGGAUAGGGCAGGCAGGAAGCAGGAAGCCAUCGUGGAAAUAUCAAAGAUAUAUAAAGGGAGAUACAUAAAUCUAAAAACAAAAACAAGAAAGAAAGAAAGGGAACAGAAAGGAAAAUAAAAGAAAGGAAAGGAAGAGAAGGAAUGAAAAGAAAAGUGUGUUAAAGUUGUAGCUCAUUG